UGAAGGUCAAAAACUCUGAGGCGAGCUG
Molecule: small RNA, 28 nt
Filed under: Bombyx mori (domestic silkworm)
Lineage: Eukaryota; Metazoa; Arthropoda; Insecta; Lepidoptera; Bombycidae
Description: ovarian small RNA-7963
Source: RNAcentral